This 429-nucleotide ribosomal RNA is filed under the name Bacteroidota bacterium. Its description in RNAcentral is "Bacteroidetes bacterium partial 16S ribosomal RNA". It matches the Rfam family "Bacterial small subunit ribosomal RNA", at positions 355 to 776 of the family's 1533-position model. The record is from RNAcentral. Lineage: Bacteria; Pseudomonadati; Bacteroidota.
UAGGGAAUCUUCCGCAAUGGACGCAAGUCUGACGGAGCAACGCCGCGUGAGUGAAGAAGGAUUUCGGUUCGUAAAACUCUGUUGUUAGAGAAGAACAGCGCAUAGAGUAACUGUUAUGCGUGUGACGGCAUCUAACCAGAAAGCCACGGCUAACUACGUGCCAGCAGCCGCGGUAAUACGUAGGUGGCAAGCGUUGUCCGGAUUUAUUGGGCGUAAAGCGAGCGCAGGCGGUCAAUUAAGUCUGAUGUGAAAGCCCCCGGCUCAACCGGGGAGGGUCAUUGGAAACUGGUUGACUUGAGUGCAGAAGAGGAGAGUGGAAUUCCAUGUGUAGCGGUGAAAUGCGUAGAUAUAUGGAGUAACACCAGUGGCGAAGGCGACUCUCUGGUCUGUAACUGACGCUGAGGAUCAAAAGCGUGGGUAGCAAACAGG